GGGACAGGGUUCAGGGAGAGAGAAAGCACAGAACGGACAAGACAAGGGCACAAGAUGGCAUUGGAGAGCUAUAUAGAUCCUGAGGUCAGAAGGAAGAUGCAGCUUCCAGUUGUCAAAGAAUCCUUUUUUAAAAUCCCUCCAUGGUUUUCGAGAUGUCACAGCAGUGUUGGUCUCACCAUGAAAUGCUGCGGCCCUUGCCAUAGAACCUUACCGAGCUGUUAGAGCCCAACACAAGCUGAGGCCUUGAAGAUGAGAGACCAACUGCAAGAUGAAUGACCUCUGAGGACCAGCGCCAGGAA
Long non-coding RNA from Mus caroli (Ryukyu mouse), 299 nucleotides. RefSeq lists it as uncharacterized. The record is from RefSeq and is a predicted model, not a curated record. NCBI's taxonomy places the organism in Eukaryota, Metazoa, Chordata, Mammalia, Rodentia, Muridae.